Molecule: unclassified non-coding RNA, 217 nt
Filed under: Hevea brasiliensis (rubber tree)
Lineage: Eukaryota; Viridiplantae; Streptophyta; Magnoliopsida; Malpighiales; Euphorbiaceae
Source: RNAcentral
AAGUAAAAAUUAAAUAAAUUUAGCAAUGAAAGCUUUACAGAUAUCAUGGUGUAGCAGAAAUUAUUUUGGAAGAUAAUAUUAACAAGAAGGACAUGAUAACAUACAGUCCUGAGUACAGCAGCAACAGAAAUUAUUUUCAAGACCUUUGUCUAUUUCAGUCCUGACUGCAGCAGCAACACCCAGGACAAUGUCUUCAGGCAGAAUGACAUCUGGAAUU